UGAGUAACGCGUAGGUAACCUGCCUUUUCGUGGGGGAUAACCAGAAGAAAUUCUGGCUAAUACCGCAUAAGUAGUCUGACAUGGGAAAAAGACUAGAAAGAGUGCCUCUACUUGUAAGCACUUGCGAAGAGAUGGGCCUGCGUUGCAUUAGCUUGUUGGUGGGGUAAUGGCCUACCAAGGCAACGAUGCAUAGCUGGUCUGAGAGGAUGAUCAGUCACACUGGAACUGAGACACGGUCCAGACUCC
This 246-nucleotide ribosomal RNA is filed under the name uncultured bacterium. Its description in RNAcentral is "partial 16S ribosomal RNA". It matches the Rfam family "Bacterial small subunit ribosomal RNA", at positions 107 to 339 of the family's 1533-position model. The record is from RNAcentral.